Molecule: ribosomal RNA, 491 nt
Filed under: uncultured bacterium
Lineage: Bacteria
Description: partial 16S ribosomal RNA
Rfam family: Bacterial small subunit ribosomal RNA
Source: RNAcentral
GUGAACGCUGGCGGUAGGCCUAACACAUGCCAGUCGAACGGCAGCACAGUAAGAGCUUGCUCUUCCGGGUGGCGAGUGGCGGACGGGUGAGGAAUACAUCGGAAUCUACUUUUUCGUGGGGGAUAACGUAGGGAAACUUACGCUAAUACCGCAUACGACCUACGGGUGAAAGCAGGGGAUCUUCGGACCUUGCGCGAUUGAAUGAGCCGAUGUCGGAUUAGCUAGUUGGCGGGGUAAAGGCCCACCAAGGCGACGAUCCGUAGCUGGUCUGAGAGGAUGAUCAGCCACACUGGAACUGAGACACGGUCCAGACUCCUACGGGAGGCAGCAGUGGGGAAUAUUGGACAAUGGGCGCAAGCCUGAUCCAGCCAUACCGCGUGGGUGAAGAAGGCCUUCGGGUUGUAAAGCCCUUUUGUUGGGAAAGAAAAGUAGCAGGUUAAUACCCCGCUGUUCUGACGGUACCCAAAGAAUAAGCACCGGCUAACUUCGUG